RNAcentral lists this long non-coding RNA (304 nucleotides) under Olea europaea (common olive). RNAcentral's name for it is "long non-coding RNA (OEUR_LNC010288)". The record is from RNAcentral. Lineage: Eukaryota; Viridiplantae; Streptophyta; Magnoliopsida; Lamiales; Oleaceae.
AAACACCAAAACUCAUACUCCACAUAAUGUGCCAAAUUUCUAAAGAUCGAGGAAGGUGACCCAAGUUCCAGUUGAAGGAGAACAAGGAGUUCUCUCGAUGAUCUACAAAAGAUAGACGAAUUCAGAAGCCCGAGAACUGGUGCAGGAGCAUACAGUCCAGGAGGGCCUGGUGAUUAUAGUCAAGAGAUCAAAAAAUACUAGAGUUAGUCGAGUUUGGACCGUACUGUAAGUUGAUUCGUUUAUAGUGGAUUUUUAUUGGUUUGGGCCUGGAGGUUUUUUAUUUGAGGGAUUUUCUCCAUCAUCA